UACCCGUGAAACUGCGAAUGGCUCAUUAAAUCAGUUAUCGUUUAUUUGAUAAUACCUUACUACUUGGAUAACCGUGGUAAUUCUAGAGCUAAUACAUGCUAAAAAUCCCGACUUCGGAAGGGAUGUGUUUAUUAGAUAAAAAACCAAUGCCCUUCGGGGCUUCUUGGUGAUUCAUGAUAACUUUACGGAUCGCAUAGCCUUGCGCUGGCGACGGUUCAUUCAAAUUUCUGCCCUAUCAACUUUCGAUGGUAAGGUAUUGGCUUACCAUGGUUUCAACGGGUAACGGGGAAUUAGGGUUCGAUUCCGGAGAGGGAGCCUGAGAAACGGCUACCACAUCCAAGGAAGGCAGCAGGCGCGCAAAUUACCCAAUCCCGACACGGGGAGGUAGUGACAAUAAAUACUGAUACAGGGCUCUUUUGGGUCUUGUAAUUGGAAUGAGUACAAUUUAAACCUCUUAACGAGGAACAAUUGGAGGGCAAGUCUGGUGCCAGCAGCCGCGGUAAUUCCAGCUCCAAUAGCGUAUAUUAAAGUUGUUGCAGUUAAAAAGCUCGUAGUUGAAACUUGGGCCUGGCUGGCGGGUCCGCCUCACCGCGUGCACUCGUCCGGCCGGGCCUUCCUUCUGAAGAACCUCAUGCCCUUCACUGGGCGUGUUGGGGAAUCAGGACUUUUACUUUGAAAAAAUUAGAGUGUUCAAAGCAGGCCUUUGCUCGAAUACGUUAGCAUGGAAUAAUAAAAUAGGGCGUGCGUUUCUAUUUUGUUGGUUUCUAGAGACGCCGCAAUGAUUAACAGGAACAGUCGGGGGCAUCAGUAUUCAGUUGUCAGAGGUGAAAUUCUUGGAUUUACUGAAGACUAACUACUGCGAAAGCAUUUGCCAAGGAUGUUUUCAUUAAUCAGUGAACGAAAGUCAGGGGAUCGAAGACGAUCAGAUACCGUCGUAGUCUUGACCGUAAACUAUGCCGACUAGGGGAUCGGGCGA
RNAcentral lists this ribosomal RNA (976 nucleotides) under Exserohilum rostratum. RNAcentral's name for it is "SSU rRNA". It matches the Rfam family "Eukaryotic small subunit ribosomal RNA", at positions 76 to 1061 of the family's 1831-position model. The record is from RNAcentral. Lineage: Eukaryota; Fungi; Ascomycota; Dothideomycetes; Pleosporales; Pleosporaceae.